GGCAGCAGUGGGGAAUUUUGGACAAUGGGCGAAAGCCUGAUCCAGCAAUGCCGCGUGCAGGAUGAAGGCCUUCGGGUUGUAAACUGCUUUUGUACGGAACGAAACGGUUCUUUCUAAUAAAGAGAGCUAAUGACGGUACCGUAAGAAUAAGCACCGGCUAACUACGUGCCAGCAGCCGCGGUAAUACGUAGGGUGCAAGCGUUAAUCGGAAUUACUGGGGCGUAAAGCGUGCGCAGGCGGUUAUGUAAGACAGUUUGUGAAAUCCCCGGGCUCACCUGGGAAUUGCAUCUGUGACUGCAUAGCUAGAGUACGGUAGAGGGGGAUGGAAUUCCGCGUGUAGCAGUGAAAUGCGUAGAUAUGCGGAGGAACACCGAUGGCGAAGGCAAUCCCCUGGACCUGUACUGACGCUCAUGCACGAAAGCGUGGGGAGCAAACAGGUUAGAUACCCUGGUAGUCCACGCCCUAAACGAUGUCAACUGGUUGUUGGGUCUUCACUGACUCAGUAACGAAGCUAACGCGUGAAGUUGACCGCCUGGGGAGUACGGCCGCAAGGUUGAAACUCCAAUGAAUUGACGGGGAAUCACUAGUGAA
Molecule: ribosomal RNA, 591 nt
Filed under: uncultured Variovorax sp.
Lineage: Bacteria; Pseudomonadati; Pseudomonadota; Betaproteobacteria; Burkholderiales; Comamonadaceae
Description: bacterial SSU rRNA
Rfam family: Bacterial small subunit ribosomal RNA
Source: RNAcentral